This is a long non-coding RNA of Heterocephalus glaber (naked mole-rat), 6600 nucleotides long. RefSeq lists it as uncharacterized. NCBI's taxonomy places the organism in Eukaryota, Metazoa, Chordata, Mammalia, Rodentia, Bathyergidae. The record is from RefSeq and is a predicted model, not a curated record.
CUCCCUCACUUUACAGAGCCAGGGAGCAGCUCCUGCCUCCACCCAGCUCUUCCCUUCCACAGACAGAGCACCCAGGCUGCCCUGCUCUGCUGCCUGCAUGGGUGACCGAUGGGCAAGGCGUGCAUUUCCCCUAGGUGAUGAAGAACUGAUUCCAGGAAAUGGAAUUAAUGGGUCCAAAGGCAUCAAAUAUAUCUGGAAGGACAGACAAAUUGGUCACAGUGGCACCUUCUGAGAAGGAGCUGAAUGGCUGAGAAAAAGAAAAGAGGUAAGAAGGAGAUUUUUACCGAAUCUUUUUAAACUUUUGCAUGUUGAAUAAUGUGAAUGUGGCCUAAAUGUAAACAAAUAUGAAAAUAAAAAUAACAAAAUGUAAAUUCCCAAGGGAUGUAAAUCCCCAGGGAUUAAAACCCCAGCUUGCUGACUUUGAGUGACCAACCAUGCAGAGUCCCCUGUGUCACUGUCCUCAGUCACUGCUGCUGCUGGUCACAGGGGGCCUGGCUGACACAGAGAGCCAAGGAAGAGUGUCAGUGCUGGUGGGCCUCUGUGUCUCUUCAGUAUCGAGAGCUGCUGAGAUGCACACAGUAACCUACCUCUGAUUUUCUGGCCUCUGCUGUGGCCCCUGUGUGGGGAGGGCAAGAGACACUCCAUCAUGGGAACCAUCGUGUGUGUGAAAAGCCCAAGGGACCCCAGCACUCUCUGUGUCACUACUGGGGGCAUCACCCAGCCAGCCUCCUUGUUUUACCAAUGGAGAAACUGAGGCAUGGAGCUAAAGGGACUCUGUGCUGAGAUCAUACUACCCUACUUUCCUGUGUUAUUCAUCUUCCAUCCCUCCAUAUCUCCACAGCCAUGGGCGGGGGCACCAUCUGCACUCAAUUCAUCCCUGCACCCUCAAGAAGCUGCACAGGCAGGUGGAGGCUCUGGCCUGGCCACAGCCCCCUCCUCUGCCCUCUGAGGCUGGAGGAUCGACAGCACUGGGCUUGGCUGGGCCUUGAAGCCUUCAGUGUGGAGUCUGGUCUUUGUCCUAAGAGCCCCUGAGGAGCUGCUGAAGGGUUUUAGGCUAGGCACUGAUGUUGUGUGAUUUAUGUUUCAGAAGAUUGCUCUGGCUGCUGGAGGAGAGGACUGGAGAGACUCGAGGGAGCAGGCAGGCCAAUGCAGCCACUGCCACCUGGACCAGACCAAGCAGGCCUGGGCUCGGUGGAGGGGAGGGGGCUGAGAAUGGGUCUGAGAACAGGCCAGCUGACUGCAGGUGGAAAUGUACAUUCCUCCUUGGGCAGUGAGUCUCUGUCCUAGAACUCUGGAAGUGAGGAAGGAUCACGACAUUACAGAGCUGUUUCAGAGAGGAACUGCUGAGUGAGGAUCCCAGUGCCAAGAUUCCAGGUCACAUCCUCCAAGAAGUCUUCCCUGUGCCCCAACCCUAGGCAGGCACUGUGGGCCUCCUCCAUCAAAUUAUCUUGGGGUUCUAGAUUUCUGUGUCUAUCCCACCCCGAUUCCAGCAUUCGGCAAUGAGCCUGGCACACAGUAGGACCUCAUACAUCACCUUCCUCCCUUCUUGGUCCCAGGACUUUCUGCUGGGUAUCCUGAAUGUCCAGCUCAAGGUACUGGCACACAGUAGGUGCUCAGGAGAUAGUUCUUGAAUUUGAUUCUCUCUGGGGCAGGCAUCCCUGACACACAGUAAGAACUAGCCCCGUCUCAAGGGCAGAGUCAAGGAUACUAACAACAGCAGCAGCCCUGGGAGCUCUCUUUAUUCCCUGUAGGGCUCUCUGCACUUGAGCUAGGCCUAUGGCUAGGUUUGUUUUGCAGACCAGCAAAUGGAGGCCUAGUGAAGUGGGGCAGUCUGCCUGUAGUUGUCAAAGACUUGAGCAGGCUGUCAGCAGGCUUUGAAUCCAAGCUGUCAGGCCUCAGCACCAGACUGUAUGGUCUGGUUCUGAAGGCUGCUACUGCUCCUGACACAUAGUAGGUGCUGAGAUGUCUGUAACGGGCCCCAAAAGGACACUGUCUUCUAGGUUGGCUGCCAUAGGGAGCAGCAGUGUAAGCCCUCUCUACUCCCAGCUGCAGGCCUCCCUCUUGCUUGAGUGGGCAAGGCCGUCCUGGGGCCGCUGCCAGUCCAGGCCUGCCCAGAACCUGCCGCCUACUCUGCCUCCCAGAGCCUCCCCCAGGCAGGCAGCAAGACCUGCCCCAUGGGACUGAGCCUCCCUUGGCUGCCUGGCCCAGACAAAGGCCAGCCGUGUGCCUGGCUCCCUGGCACUUGGGCCACCUCCUUCUCCUCCUCCUCUUCUUGCUACAGGGCACCCACAGAGGUUGUUUCCACAAAGGAGGUGGAGGGAAGGGUGGGGGGCAGGGCUAUGCAGCCCCAAGGGUAGAGGCUGGAGCAGUCAGAAUUAUUGGGCAGGUUAACUAGAUACAGAGAGCAGGGCAGUCCUGUAGAGCUGAGUGGCCUGACAGCAGGCGGGUGGGGGCUGGUGAGGGCACAGCCUGGCAGGUCUGACUCCUCUCCCUGCCCCCACAAGGCACCAGUGGGUGCCAGUUGAGCUCUGCUGAAUAACAAGCAUUCUGGGUCCUGAGUGCUGCCAGGGUGGGGCCUGGCACAUGGCAUCAAUAAUCCUCCCAACUACAGCCAGAGCUUCACACCUAAGCCAACCAGGGCAUUGAGGCAUCUAUUAAAUAACUCCCUGGUUUCACCAAGAGGAAGCUGAGGCUCAGAGGACAGAGCAACUUACCUACAAUCAUUAGGAUAAAAAUGAGUCAAAUGGAACCCACUGAUAGCAAGAGAGGGUAAACUUCCCACCAAUCCCAACAUCUCUGUAUAAUUAAUAAGGAAAUAGAAACAACAUUUACCGAACAUUACCAUAUGCCAGGCAUUGUACCUAGGGCAUUAUCUAUCUAUAAGCCUUUCAUUUAUUUUUUAAUUAAAAUUUUUUUGGUUUUUGAGACAGGGUCUUGCUAUGUAGUUCAAACUGGCCUUGAACUCACCACAAUCCUCCCACCUCAGCCUCCCGAAUGCUGGGAUUACAGGUGUGUGCCAUCACACCUGGCUCCUAUAAACCAUUUAAUCCCACAACAACCCUACAAGAUGAGAACUAGUGUGUCCAUUUCACAGAUGAAGAAACUGAGGCCUGGCAAGGUAGAAUGACACACCUAAGAACAAACAGUAAGUAUACGAGAGAGUGAGGUUUCAACCCAGCCAUCCAGAAUCUACCCACUAAACUGCCACCUAUCCUAGGUAGAUGGGCGGACAGACAGACAGGUUAAUGGGUGGGACCUCUACCCUAGGAGCACCAGGCCUGAGACUGGGCACCUAGCAGGUGCUUGGACAGCAGGAGCCAUGACCAUUCUUUGUAACACAGGCCCUGCAGGAGGGCCUCACCUUCUCAGCAGACUGGAGCUCUCCAGGCCACGGCCACAGAACGUGUGCCUGGGCUGCUGGGCAGCCGCUCCCUCACAGAGCAGAGCAGCGGCAUGACGGAUGUGCCCGCCGCCGCAGGGAGCCCAGGGCAGAGCAGUUGCCUGGAAACAGACUGCUCCCGCGGCCCACACUCAGACCUUUGUCACCAUCUCAAGGACCUUUUUUUCCUCCUCCUCCUUUCUUGCGGGAGCCAGACCCGCGCGCAGGUGAGGAACUGCAGCCAACGCCACCGCAUCGGCAGCCCCGUCACCAUCACCAGGGAACACGACGGGGAGAGGGAGGCAAGGCAGGCUGGGACUCAGGUUUUCGCGGGUGGCCCAGCAGGGCUGGAAACACCCUGCCACUGGAACACUUCUCUGGCUGGCUUUAUCUGCUCCCAGCUUCCCUGACGAAAAAUGAGCCGGAGUCCUUUUUCCUAUUGGCGCAGUCCUGGAAGCAUCCGCCUGUAGAGCGGAGGGGGCGGGAGGAUCUGGGCGGGGCCACCUCUGCAGGGCGGAGACAGGGACAAGGACAGGUGCGGCACACCCAGCACACAGGCACUAAUCCUGCUGGUGGGCCCUGGGGGAACUGGCUGGGGACGGGGCCACGCCCCAGCCUGCCCAGCUUGGGGACAGGGGUGUUAUCUCUCCUCUCCGUGUCUUGGUUUCUUCCUCAGUGAACACCACAGGGGACUGGCAGCAGGCCUGGCAGAAGGGCAGUUUGUUUUUGCCCCAAGCCCUCAGGAGGCAGGAGGUCCACAGCCACUCACUGGACACACGAAGAAAGUGAGGAUCCAGAGAUUCAUCUGUGAAAUGAGUCUAAUGAUCUGAGCUCUGCGUGCACAGGGAAAGGAUGUCUAGGACCUCCAGAUGUGAACAGAAGUGGGCUCCCUGGCUUCUCCACCUGAGUGCUCAGCAGGCUGGUUCCCCACAGAAAGCUAAUGCAGAGUGGGGUAGGAACCUGGGGCCAGGAGCUUCAUGAGAGGAGAGCUGACGCUGCAGCACAGACUGGUGGGUGGGGCCUUCUACCAAGGCUGGGAAGCCAAGUGCCAAGUGACCAUGGGCAGGAAAGCCCAAAAAAGGAGAAGUCCUUCUGCAAGGUCCACUGGCCAGCUCCUGUCUGGCUGUAGCCCUGAUCUCUGGGGCUGAAUCCUGGCUCAGCUGCCUGGUACUGCCCAGCCAGGCAGCCCCUCUGAACCUGAGUUUCCUCCUCCACACGGCUCUUCCCAGGGCAGACCUGAGGCUUGGAAAAGCUGACAGGUACAGGCAUGUGGGUGCGGGGCUGCAAAAGAAGUGUCCGGAGACCCAGCCCUCCCUGCCCAGCAAGGCCAGACACCGGAUGGACAGACAGUCCGAGUGGACAAUCACAUGAGGCACCUCUUCCUGUUCUCCAAGGACCUGGCCCAGACUCCGCCCACCCACAGCCUGCGCUUCCCCCAUUCUGGCCUUUCACCACCUUUGCAGUAGACCUGACGCACCAAGCCAAGCCUGACACUUGCUCAUUACUGCAAAUCUGAAAGUCAUUAUUGUUGGAAGUGGUACUGUGUGUAUGGGUUCUGGUACACUUAGUGGGACAGUAGGCACUGGGCAGCUCCAUUCACCCUCUAUCUCCUGGUCCCUAAACUGGGAGACCCUGAUCUCAGCCUCCAUAGGUUCUGCUUCACUGGGACCCUGGACAAGUCACUUACCCUCUCCAGGCCCCAGUUUACCCCGUUUAUAGGAUGGGGAUGUUAUCUUUUCCCCUCUUUCUUUAGAAGACCCAAGUGAUAAGACAAACUGCCAAUAACUAUGAAAAUGACUCAAAGUCAUACCAGAAUGUCAGGUGCUGGCUUUAAGCAUUGACUGAGCAGUUCUUGUAGCCAGGGUCAGGGGUGGGCUCUCAGACACACUUCCUGUAAGUGCCAUGGCAACACUAAUCGUCAGGCUUCCCAUCCCCAUUUUGUAGAGAAGGACACUGACACAGCAUAAUUUGCCUAAGAUCACACAGGGAAGUGGCAGACCCAGCCAGGUAAAAAGCAGCCACACAGGGUGAGAAGCUAGGGGGAUGGUGUUCCCUGUCCUAAGUCACCUUUGGUCAUAAAACCCAGUCUUCAAGUUGAAGAAAUGAGCCGCAAAGCCACAAGCCCAGCUCAACCUAGAGAUGGGCUGUGAGGUCAUAAAUCUCUAUUCUGAGGCCUAAGGUACUGAAGGGUAAAAUGGUGCAUCUUGAUUCCCAAAUGGAAGGGGUGAUGGGAGCUGGGGACACUGUUCUAGGCAUAUCCCUGCCUCAGGGCCUCUGCCCUGAUUCUUCCCUCUCCCUGGAAUGCUUUUCCACCAGAUACCUCCACUCUCUGCUCCCAUACCUCCUUCAGGGUUUUGUUCAAGAUGUCAUUUUCUCAGGGCUGGGUGUGUAGCUCAGUGACAGAGUGCUUGCCUAGCUAGCAUGUGUGAGGCCCCGGUGCCAUCGACAGCACCACACAAAAAAAAGAGGGAAAAUAAAGUCACCUUCUCAUUGAGGCCCUCCCUGACACCAUGUUUAAAAUUCCAACAGCCCCACCUCCCAACACCCUCACUCUGCUUUAUUUUUCUCUGCACCAUCCCCAGAACCUGGCAGAUUGGCUGCCACCCUGCUUGCUGCACAGCGCGCCUGCCCCGUGGCACGCCAGCUCUCCCAGGACAUGGAUUUUCCUUUGACCCUCCAGAGUGGAUAGACUAGAACUGAGCAAAUGCUUGGCAGAUAUCUGAACAAGGGAAUAAAAGUGAGGCCCAGAGUCAGAACACAGUGGGCCGUGAGCCACACAGGAAGUAAAAAGCAGCAUUUGUGUUCUGGCCUUCUGUCCCCGGCCCUGGUUCUGUUCCCUCCUUACUGGCAUGGGAUCAGCUUGGGUAUGCAGAAACCUAGGUACUGCCUUCCUCCCUUCCUGAGAGACGUGGGAGUCAGCAAUGGGCGGGCAGCAGCCUUUCCUGGGGCCUGUGUAAGGGCAACAGCAAGCGGGUGUAGUGUGUCCACCCAGAGGCCCUGGCCUCCGCCUGCCCACUCCCACCCAGUUCCUAGUUGAGGGCCAUGAACACAACCUUCUUGUCUCUUUGUCUCCUGACUUAUGGAGUGGGACCUCCCCCUGGAAAUGUCAGCUGCCACAGCAAGGGUGGCAGUUCCUCACCUUUCUGGGAGGAUGGCUCUCUCUCUCACAGAAGAGAUGCUGAAGAAUAGAAGGAAAAAAUGGAAAGAAAACUUUUGUAUAU